AGUCAAUAGAUACCCAGGUAGUCCAUGCCGUAAACGAUGAUUGCUAGGUGUGGGGGGUCUGACCCCUUCCGUGCCGGAGUUAAACACAAUAAGCAAUCCACCUGGGGAGUACGGCCGCAAGGUUGAAACUCAAAGGAAUUGACGGGGGCCCGCACAAGCAGUGGAGUAUGUGGUUUAAAUUCGAAGCAACGCGAAGAACCUUACCAGGUCUUGACAUCCACCGAAUCCUGUAGAGAUACGGGAGUGCCCUUCGGGGAACGGUGAGACAGGUGGUGCAUGGUUGUCGUCAGCUCGUGUCGUGAGAUGUUGGGUUAAGUCCCGCAACGAGCGCAACCCUUGUGAAUAGUUGCUACGAAA
RNAcentral lists this ribosomal RNA (357 nucleotides) under uncultured bacterium. RNAcentral's name for it is "bacterial SSU rRNA". It matches the Rfam family "Bacterial small subunit ribosomal RNA", at positions 775 to 1125 of the family's 1533-position model. The record is from RNAcentral.